UACGUAGGGUGCGAGCGUUGUCCGGAAUUAUUGGGCGUAAAGAGCUCGUAGGCGGCUUGUCGCGUCGGAUGUGAAAGCCCGGGGCUUAACUCCGGGUCUGCAUUCGAUACGGGCUAGCUAGAGUGUGGUAGGGGAGAUCGGAAUUCCUGGUGUAGCGGUGAAAUGCGCAGAUAUCAGGAGGAACACCGGUGGCGAAGGCGGAUCUCUGGGCCAUUACUGACGCUGAGGAGCGAAAGCGUGGGGAGCGAACAGG
Molecule: ribosomal RNA, 253 nt
Filed under: uncultured bacterium
Lineage: Bacteria
Description: partial 16S ribosomal RNA
Rfam family: Bacterial small subunit ribosomal RNA
Source: RNAcentral